RNAcentral lists this ribosomal RNA (445 nucleotides) under uncultured bacterium. Its description in RNAcentral is "partial 16S ribosomal RNA". It matches the Rfam family "Bacterial small subunit ribosomal RNA", at positions 354 to 796 of the family's 1533-position model. The record is from RNAcentral.
GUGAGGAAUAUUGGUCAAUGGGCGCAAGCCUGAACCAGCCAUGCCGCGUGCAGGAAGACGGUCCUAUGGAUUGUAAACUGCUUUUAUUUGGGAAUAAACUCCGGUACGUGUACCGGCCUGAAGGUACCAAAUGAAUAAGCACCGGCUAACUCCGUGCCAGCAGCCGCGGUAAUACGGAGGGUGCAAGCGUUAUCCGGAAUCACUGGGUUUAAAGGGUCCGCAGGCGGUCUUAUAAGUCAGUGGUGAAAGCCUACAGCUCAACUGUAGAACUGCCAGUGAUACUGUAGGACUUGAAUUCGAUCGAAGUGGGCGGAAUGUGACAUGUAGCGGUGAAAUGCUUAGAUAUGUCACAGAACACCGAUAGCGAAGGCAGCUCACUAGGUCUGGAUUGACGCUCAGGGACGAAAGCGUGGGGAGCAAACAGGAUUAGAUACCCCUGUAGUCC